This 402-nucleotide ribosomal RNA is filed under the name Cutibacterium granulosum. Its description in RNAcentral is "bacterial SSU rRNA". It matches the Rfam family "Bacterial small subunit ribosomal RNA", at positions 87 to 502 of the family's 1533-position model. The record is from RNAcentral. Lineage: Bacteria; Bacillati; Actinomycetota; Actinomycetes; Propionibacteriales; Propionibacteriaceae.
GUACUCGAGUGGCGAACGGGUGAGUAACACGUGAGUAACCUGCCCUUGACUUCGGGAUAACUUCAGGAAACUGGGGCUAAUACCGGAUAGGAAUCCUUGCUGCAUGGUGGGGGUUGGAAAGCUUCGGCGGUUUUGGAUGGACUCGCGGCUUAUCAGCUUGUUGGUGGGGUAGUGGCUUACCAAGGCUUUGACGGGUAGCCGGCCUGAGAGGGCGACCGGCCACAUUGGGACUGAGAUACGGCCCAGACUCCUACGGGAGGCAGCAGUGGGGAAUAUUGCACAAUGGGCGGAAGCCUGAUGCAGCAACGCCGCGUGCGGGAUGACGGCCUUCGGGUUGUAAACCGCUUUCAGCAGGGGCGAAGCUUGUGGUGACGGUACCUGCAGAAGAAGCACCGGCUAACU